Molecule: microRNA precursor, 76 nt
Filed under: Myotis lucifugus (little brown bat)
Lineage: Eukaryota; Metazoa; Chordata; Mammalia; Chiroptera; Vespertilionidae
Description: mir-9229 microRNA precursor family
Rfam family: mir-9229 microRNA precursor family
Source: Rfam by way of RNAcentral
GAGACACCCCUCUGGGGCUAGACUUGCUUCAAUGGGGCUUUGGUGCUCACUGAAUCUGCCCCCUGAGUGUGUCUUU